GACGAACGCUGGCGGCGUGCUUAACACAUGCAAGUCGAACGAUGAAGCGGGUGCUUGCACUCGUGGAUUAGUGGCGAACGGGCGAGUAAUACGUGAGUAACCUGUCCUUUUCUUUGGGAUAACGGCUGGAAACGGCUGCUAAUACUGGAUAUUCAGGCUGCAUCGCAUGGUGUGGUUUGGAAAGGUUUUUUCUGGGAUUGGGUGGGCUCGCGGCCUAUCAGCUUGUUGGUGGGGUGAUGGCUUACCAAGGCUUUGACGGGUAGCCGGCCUGAGAGGGUGGUCGGUCGCACUGGGACUGAGAUACGGCCCAGACUCCUACGGGAGGCAGCAGUGGGGAAUAUUGCACAAUGGACGAAAGUUUGAUGCAGCGACGCCGCGUGGAGGGUGUAGGCCUUCGGGUUGUGAACUCCUUUUUCUCGCGAAAAAGGCACAGUUUUGGCUGUGUUGAUGGUAGUGGGGGAAGAAGCGCCGGCUAACUACGUG
This 483-nucleotide ribosomal RNA is filed under the name uncultured bacterium. RNAcentral describes it as "partial 16S ribosomal RNA". It matches the Rfam family "Bacterial small subunit ribosomal RNA", at positions 28 to 507 of the family's 1533-position model. The record is from RNAcentral.